GGAAUAAGGGUGGAGAAUAUGUCAUAAUCAUUAUGCCCAGACAACUUAAUAGAGCCUGGCAAGCAGAUUUGUGGAAAGACUUCUGGAAUGGUUGAACUUGAAAGAAACAGUGGGUUUUUAUUUUUUCUGGAGCUGUUCUAGCCAGCUCCCAGAGAACCUCAGUUCCAGACAAAAGGGAAGAGACUGUAAAAUGGUUUGGAAAAAAAAAAGCCUCGGAAUGAAAGGAAUAAAGAUAAAGAUCCUUGGAAAACUUUUUCUCCAUUUCAUUGGAAGUUUUCUUGCCUCACAUUUUUGCAAGGAUGUAAGUCUGGUUGUAUGAUGAACCCAAUCUGCCUCUUGUUAAUCAUUUGCCAUGUACCUUUUUUCCCAUCUUCCUUCCUAUUAAGUCCUCUUGAUUAAACUGUCUUCUUUUGUCUCACAUUCCCUUG
This is a long non-coding RNA of Pyrgilauda ruficollis (rufous-necked snowfinch), 428 nucleotides long. RefSeq lists it as uncharacterized. NCBI's taxonomy places the organism in Eukaryota, Metazoa, Chordata, Aves, Passeriformes, Passeridae. The transcript has 3 exons. The record is from RefSeq and is a predicted model, not a curated record.